UAGGAGAAAAGUAGGGUUUAAAGGCCCUCUCCUCCCAUUCGAUGGGGUCUCCUAUGGUGGUAGGGGUGCCGCUGCAAUUAUAUCCCAUGCAGAUGAAGCAGCGAAAGAAAUUAAUUAUAAAGGUUCAAUUGUGAAAUUUAUCAUGAAUGUGUUAGAUUAGAUCUAAAGGAAUAUUCAUGAUUUAUUUUGAUUGAGUUAUUUUCUGUUAUGUAAUUAGCAAUAGGAUUGCUAUUUAUGAAAUGUGCUGAUCUAUUUGUGAAAUGAGUCAACAUAUUUGGUGAACAGAAAAUAAAACCUUUCAAAUUUAAAAAUUAUUUUUGAAAUGCCAAAUCCUAACCCAUC
RNAcentral lists this long non-coding RNA (342 nucleotides) under Elaeis guineensis (African oil palm). RNAcentral's name for it is "long non-coding RNA (EGUI_LNC082909)". Lineage: Eukaryota; Viridiplantae; Streptophyta; Magnoliopsida; Arecales; Arecaceae. The record is from RNAcentral.